This 253-nucleotide ribosomal RNA is filed under the name uncultured bacterium. Its description in RNAcentral is "partial 16S ribosomal RNA". It matches the Rfam family "Bacterial small subunit ribosomal RNA", at positions 524 to 776 of the family's 1533-position model. The record is from RNAcentral.
UACGUAGGGGGCAAGCGUUGUCCGGAAUCAUUGGGCGUAAAGCGCGUGUAGGCGGCCCGGUAAGUCCGCUGUGAAAGUCCAGGGCUCAACCCUGGAAUGCCGGUGGAUACUGUCGGGCUCGAGUCCGGAAGAGGCGAGUGGAAUUCCUGGUGUAGCGGUGAAAUGCGCAGAUAUCAGGAGGAACACCAAUGGCGAAGGCAGCUCGCUGGGACGUUACUGACGCUGAGACGCGAAAGCGUGGGGAGCAAACAGG